GGGGGGGGCAAGCGUUGUUCGGAAUUACUGGGCGUAAAGGGCUCGUAGGCGGCCAACUAAGUCGGAUGUGAAAUCCCCAGGCUCAACCUGGGAACUGCAUCCGAUACUGGAUGGCUUGAAUUCGGGAGAGGGAUGCAGAAUUCCAGGUGUAGCGGUGAAAUGCGUAGAUAUCUGGAGGAAUACCGGUGGCGAAGGCGGCAUCCUGGACCGACAUUGACGCUGAUGAGCGAAAGCUAGGGGAGCAAACGGGAUUAGAUACCCCGGUAGUCCUAGCCCUAAACGAUGAAUGCUUGGUGUAACGGGUAUCGAUCCCUGUUGUGCCGAAGCUAACGCAUUAAGCAUUCCGCCUGGGGAGUACGGUCGCAAGGCUG
RNAcentral lists this ribosomal RNA (371 nucleotides) under uncultured bacterium. RNAcentral describes it as "bacterial SSU rRNA". It matches the Rfam family "Bacterial small subunit ribosomal RNA", at positions 527 to 896 of the family's 1533-position model. The record is from RNAcentral.